AGGUGAGGUCCUAGACAACCAGGUGAGGGGAGGUCCUAGACAACCAGGUGAGGGGGAGGUCCUAGACAACCAGGUGAGGGGGAGGUCCUAGACAACCAGGUGAGAUCCUAGACAACCAGGUGAGGGGAGGUCCUAGACAACCAGGUGAGGGGAGGUCCUAGACAACCAGGUGAGGUCCUAGACAACCAGGUGAGGUCCUAGACAACCAGGUGAGGGGAGGUCCUAGACAACCAGGUGAUGUCCUAGACAACCAGGUGAGGGGAGGUCCUAGACAACCAGGUGAGGGGAGGUCCUAGACAACCAGGUGAGGUCCUAGACAACCAGGUGAGGUCCUAGACAACCAGGGGAGGUCCUAGACAACCAGGUGAGGGGAGGUCCUAGACAACCAGGUGAGGGGAGGUCCUAGACAACCAGGUGAGGGGAGGUCCUAGACAACCAGGUGAGGGGAGGUCCUAGACAACCAGGUGAGGGGAGGUCCUAGACAACCAGGUGAGUGGGAGGUCCUAGACAACCAGGUGAGUGGGAGGUCCUAGACAACCAGGUGAGUGGGAGGUCCUAGACAACCAGGUGAGGGGAGGUCCUAGACAACCAGGCGAGGGGAGGUCCUAGACAACCAGGCGAGGGGAGGUCCUAGACAACCAGGUGAGGGAGGUCCUAGACAACCAGGUGAGGUCCUAGACAACCAGGUGAGGGGGAGGUCCUAGCUAAGUAUAAGGGAGGAGUGAACCUGCAGACACUCUGCCCUACAUGGAAUUAGUUGAGACACCGGCUUUAGGUGCUGGAACGUGGACAGGAUGUGACAUCAUCGACAGGAAGUAGUGACGUCUAGAUGCUGGACGUAGAGAGAAUGUCCUCCACCAGGUGUUUGUAAACCCAGGAGUCUCCCUUCAGCCGCUGUCUCCUCACACACA
Oncorhynchus keta (chum salmon) is the source of this 911-nucleotide long non-coding RNA. RefSeq lists it as uncharacterized. The record is from RefSeq and is a predicted model, not a curated record. The transcript is spliced from 5 exons. Lineage: Eukaryota; Metazoa; Chordata; Actinopteri; Salmoniformes; Salmonidae.